GUCUAAGGCCAUACCACCCUGAACAUGCCCAAUCUCGUCUGGUCUUGAAAGCCAAGCAGGUUCAGGCCUGGUUAGUACUUGGAAGGGAUACAGAUCUUCAGAAGAGACU
RNAcentral lists this ribosomal RNA (109 nucleotides) under Castor canadensis (American beaver). Lineage: Eukaryota; Metazoa; Chordata; Mammalia; Rodentia; Castoridae. The record is from RNAcentral.